Molecule: ribosomal RNA, 460 nt
Filed under: uncultured bacterium
Lineage: Bacteria
Description: partial 16S ribosomal RNA
Rfam family: Bacterial small subunit ribosomal RNA
Source: RNAcentral
CCUACGGGUGGCAGCAGUGAGGAAUAUUGGUCAAUGGACGAGAGUCUGAACCAGCCAAGUAGCGUGAAGGAUGACUGCCCUAUGGGUUGUAAACUUCUUUUAUAAAGGAAUAAAACGAGGCACGUGUGCCUUUUUGCAUGUACUUUAUGAAUAAGGAUCGGCUAACUCCGUGCCAGCGGCCGCGGUAAUACGGAGGAUCCGAGCGUUAUCCGGAUUUAUUGGGUUUAAAGGGAGCGUAGAUGGGAUGUUAAGUCAGUUGUGAAAGUUUGCGGCUCAACCGUAAAAUUGCAAUUGAUACUGGCAGUCUUGAGUACAGUUGAGGUAGGCGGAAUUCGUGGUGUAGCGGUGAAAUGCUUAGAUAUCACGAAGAACCCCGGUUGCGAAGGCAGCUUACUAAACUGUGACUGACAUUGAUGCUCGAAAGUGUGGGGAUCAAACAGGAUUAGAUACCCCAGUAGUC